UACACAUGCAAGUCGAACGAUGAACACCGGAGCUUGCUCUGGUGGGAUUAGUGGCGAACGGGUGAGUAACACGUGAGCAAUCUGCCCCCGACUCUGGGAUAACCCCGAGAAAUCGGAGCUAAUACCGGAUACGACACCUCCUGGCAUCAGGUGGGUGUGGAAAGAAUUUCGGUUGGGGAUGAGCUCGCGGCCUAUCAGCUUGUUGGUGAGGUAAUGGCUCACCAAGGCGACGACGGGUAGCCGGCCUGAGAGGGUGACCGGCCACACUGGGACUGAGACACGGCCCAGACUCCUACGGGAGGCAGCAGUGGGGAAUAUUGCACAAUGGGCGCAAGCCUGAUGCAGCAACGCCGCGUGGGGGACGACGGCCUUCGGGUUGUAAACCUCUUUUGGCAGGGAAGAAGCGAAAGUGACGGUACCUGCAGAAAAAGCACCGGCUAACUACGUGCCAGCAGCCGCGGUAAUACGUAGGGUGCAAGCGUUGUCCGGAAUUAUUGGGCGUAAAGAGCUCGUAGGCGGUGUGUCACGUCUGCUGUGAAAAUCCAAGGCUCAACCUUGGACUUGCAGUGGGUACGGGCACACUCGAGUGCGGUAGGGGAGAUUGGAAUUCCUGGUGUAGCGGUGGAAUGCGCAGAUAUCAGGAGGAACACCGAUGGCGAAGGCAGAUCUCUGGGCCGUAACUGACGCUGAGGAGCGAAAGCGUGGGGAGCGAACAGGAUUAGAUACCCUGGUAGUCCACGCCGUAAACGGUGGGAACUAGAUGUGGGGUCCGUUCCACGGAUUCCGUGUCGCAGCUAACGCAUUAAGUUCCCCGCCUGGGGAGUACGGCCGCAAGGCUAAAACUCAAGGAAUUGACGGGGGC
This 862-nucleotide ribosomal RNA is filed under the name uncultured bacterium. RNAcentral's name for it is "bacterial SSU rRNA". It matches the Rfam family "Bacterial small subunit ribosomal RNA", at positions 50 to 920 of the family's 1533-position model. The record is from RNAcentral.